UGAACGCUGGCGGCAGGCCUAACACAUGCAAGUCGAGCGGAAACGAUGGAAGCUUGCUUCCAGGCGUCGAGCGGCGGACGGGUGAGUAAUGCAUAGGAAUCUGCCCGGUAGUGGGGGAUAACUUGGGGAAACCCAAGCUAAUACCGCAUACGCCCUACGGGGGAAAGCAGGGGAUCUUCGGACCUUGCGCUAUCGGAUGAGCCUAUGUCGGAUUAGCUAGUUGGUGAGGUAAUGGCUCACCAAGGCCGCGAUCCGUAGCUGGUCUGAGAGGAUGAUCAGCCACAUCGGGACUGAGACACGGCCCGAACUCCUACGGGAGGCAGCAGUGGGGAAUAUUGGACAAUGGGCGAAAGCCUGAUCCAGCCAUGCCGCGUGUGUGAAGAAGGCCCUCGGGUUGUAAAGCACUUUCAGUGAGGAAGAACGCUUGUGGGUUAAUACCCUGCAAGGAAGACAUCACUCACAGAAGAAGCACCGGCUAACUCCGUGCCAGCAGCCGCGGUAAUACGGAGGGUGCGAGCGUUAAUCGGAAUUACUGGGCGUAAAGCGCGCGUAGGCGGCUUGAUAAGCCGGUUGUGAAAGCCCCGGGCUCAACCUGGGAACGGCAUCCGGAACUGUCAGGCUAGAGUGCAGGAGAGGAAGGUAGAAUUCCCGGUGUAGCGGUGAAAUGCGUAGAGAUCGGGAGGAAUACCAGUGGCCAAGGCGGCCUUCUGGACUGACACUGACGCUGAGGUGCGAANGCGUGGGUAGCAAACAGGAUUAGAUACCCUGGUAGUCCACGCCGUAAACNAUGUCGACUAGCCGUNGGGGUCCUCGA
This 814-nucleotide ribosomal RNA is filed under the name Halomonas sp. C7.3. RNAcentral's name for it is "bacterial SSU rRNA". It matches the Rfam family "Bacterial small subunit ribosomal RNA", at positions 30 to 835 of the family's 1533-position model. Lineage: Bacteria; Pseudomonadati; Pseudomonadota; Gammaproteobacteria; Oceanospirillales; Halomonadaceae. The record is from RNAcentral.